Molecule: ribosomal RNA, 328 nt
Filed under: uncultured eukaryote
Lineage: Eukaryota
Description: partial 18S ribosomal RNA
Rfam family: Eukaryotic small subunit ribosomal RNA
Source: RNAcentral
CCCUUAGAUGUUCUGGGCCGCACGCGCGCUACACUGACUACUUCAACGAGUUGUUUCCGUGAUCGAAAGGUCUGGGUAAUCUUUGAAAGGUAGUCGUGAUGGGGAUAGAUCCUUGCAAUUUUUGAUCUUCAACGAGGAAUUCCUAGUAAACGCAAGUCAUCAGCUUGCAUUGAUUACGUCCCUGCCCUUUGUACACACCGCCCGUCGCACCUACCGAUUGAAUGGUCCGGUGAAUCUUUAGGACUGUGGCUGAGGCCUUGCCUUGUGCGGGUCUGGCCGUGGGAAUUUAGUUAAACCUUACCAUUUAGAGGAAGGUGAAGUCGUAACA